Molecule: ribosomal RNA, 546 nt
Filed under: uncultured archaeon
Lineage: Archaea
Description: bacterial SSU rRNA
Rfam family: Archaeal small subunit ribosomal RNA
Source: RNAcentral
UCAGCCGCCGCGGUAACACCGGCGGCCCGAGUGGUGAUCGUGAUUAUUGGGUCUAAAGGGUCCGUAGCCGGUUUGGUCAGUCCUCCGGGAAAUCUGAUAGCUCAACUAUUAGGCGUUUCGGGGGAGUACUGCCAGACUUGGGAACCGGGAGAGGUAAGAGGUACUACAGGGGUAGGAGUGAAAUCUUGUAAUCCCUGUGGGACCACCUGUGGCGAAGGCGUCUUACCAGAACGGGUUCGACGGUGAGGGACGAAAGCGUGGGGGCACGAACCGGAUUAGAUACCCGGGUGGUCCCAGCCGUAAACGAUGCUCGCUAGGUGUCAGGCAUGGCGCGACCGUGUCUGGUGCCGCAGGGAAGCCGUGAAGCGAGCCACCUGGGAAGUACGGCCGCAAGGCUGAAACUUAAAGGAAUUGGGCGGGGGAGCACAACAACGGGUGGAGCCCUGCGGUUUAAUUGGACUCAACGCCGGACAACUCACCGGGGGCGACAGCAAUAUGUAGGCCAAGCUGAAGACUUUGCCUGAAUCGCUGAGAGGUGGUGCAUGG